RNAcentral lists this ribosomal RNA (301 nucleotides) under uncultured bacterium. Its description in RNAcentral is "partial 16S ribosomal RNA". It matches the Rfam family "Bacterial small subunit ribosomal RNA", at positions 509 to 807 of the family's 1533-position model. The record is from RNAcentral.
CAGCAGCCGCGGUAAUACGUAGGUGGCAAGCGUUGUCCGGAAUUAUUGGGCGUAAAGGGCUCGCAGGCGGUUCCUUAAGUCUGAUGUGAAAGCCCCCGGCUCAACCGGGGAGGGUCAUUGGAAACUGGGAGACUUGAGUGCAGAAGAGGAGAGCGGAAUUCCACGUGUAGCGGUGAAAUGCGUAGAGAUGUGGAGGAACACCAGUGGCGAAGGCGGCUCUCUGGACUGUAACUGACGCUGAGGCGCGAAAGCGUGGGGAGCAAACAGGAUUAGAUACCCCAGUAGUCCCUGUCUCUUAUAC